CUGAGACACGAAAGCUAGGGGAGCGAAGCAGAUUAGAGACCUGCGUAGUCCUAGCCGUAAACGAAUGUCUGCUACCUGCAUUUUCAUUGUGCCGUAAGGCACGAUAAGGUGUGGGAAAGGUAACCCGUUAAGCAGAUCGCCUGGGGAGUACUGCCGCAAGGUUAAAACUCAAAGGAAUUGGCGGGGAGGCACACAACCAGUGGAACAUGUGGUUCAAUUCGAAACGAACCGAAGAACCUCACCAGGGUUUGACAUGCAACUGCUCGUCCUAUGAAAGUAGGAUUCUUUCGAAGGUGUUGCACAGGUGCUGCAUGGCUGUCGUCAGCUCGUUCCGUGAGGAGUGCCCUUAAGUGGGACAACGAGCGCAACCCUUGUCUUGUGUUAAAUCUAUCACAAGAGACUGCCCUGAUAUUUUUAUCGGGGAGGAAGGAGAGGCAGACGUCAAGUCAGCAUGGUCCUUAUACCCUGGGCUACACACAUGUUACAAUGGGAUGCAACAACGAGCAUUGCCAGACUGCAAAGUCGAGCAAAUCUCUGAAAUCAUCCCUCAGUGGGGAUUGAGGUCUGCAACCCGACCUCAUGAACGCGGAAUUGGUAGUAAUCGCAGAUCAGCUACGCUGCGGUGAAUACGUUCUUGCCUCUUGCACACACCGCCCGUCAAGCCAACAAAGUCGGGGACACCUGAAUUUCGUAAUAUGCGGAAGAGGGUAUCGCCGGCGAUGGGGGUUAAGUCGUAACAAGGUAACCGUUCUGGAAGGAGCGGUUG
Molecule: ribosomal RNA, 766 nt
Filed under: Candidatus Roizmanbacteria bacterium UBA6242
Lineage: Bacteria; Candidatus Roizmaniibacteriota
Description: bacterial SSU rRNA
Rfam family: Bacterial small subunit ribosomal RNA
Source: RNAcentral